Molecule: unclassified non-coding RNA, 353 nt
Filed under: soil metagenome
Description: partial contains 5.8S ribosomal RNA, internal transcribed spacer 2, and large subunit ribosomal RNA
Rfam family: 5.8S ribosomal RNA (bases 1-120)
Source: RNAcentral
GAUGAAGAACGCAGCGAAACGCGAUAUGUAAUGUGAAUUGCAGAAUUCAGUGAAUCAUCGAAUCUUUGAACGCACAUGGCGCCUUCCAGUAUCCUGGGAGGCAUGCCUGUCCGAGCGUCGUUUCAACCCUCGAGCCCUCGUGGCCCGGCGUUGGGGAUCUGCCACGGCAGGCCCCGAAAUACAGUGGCGGACCCGUUAGGCCCUUCCUUUGCGUAGUAGCAUCAGCCUCGCAUCGGGAGCCGGCGGGCUCUCCUGCCUCUAAACCCCCCAACAAGCCCGCUCCGGCGGCACCAAGGUUGACCUCGGAUCAGGUAGGAAUACCCGCUGAACUUAAGCAUACAAUAAGCGGAGGA